AGAACGAACGCUGGCGGCAUGCCUAACACAUGCAAGUCGAACGAGACCUUCGGGUCUAGUGGCGCACGGGUGCGUAACGCGUGGGAAUCUGCCCUUAGGUACGGAAUAACAGUGAGAAAUUACUGCUAAUACCGUAUGAUGUCUUCGGACCAAAGAUUUAUCGCCUAGGGAUGAGCCCGCGUUGGAUUAGCUAGUUGGUGGGGUAAAGGCCUACCAAGGCGACGAUCCAUAGCUGGUCUGAGAGGAUGAUCAGCCACACUGGGACUGAGACACGGCCCAGACUCCUACGGGAGGCAGCAGUGGGGAAUAUUGGACAAUGGGCGAAAAGCCUGAUCCAGCAAUGCCGCGUGAGUGAAGAAGGCCUUAGGGUUGUAAAGCUCUUUUACCGGGAAGAUAAUGACUGUACCGGAGAAUAAGCCCGGUUAACUCCGUGCCAGCAGCCGC
RNAcentral lists this ribosomal RNA (444 nucleotides) under uncultured bacterium. Its description in RNAcentral is "SSU rRNA". It matches the Rfam family "Bacterial small subunit ribosomal RNA", at positions 26 to 518 of the family's 1533-position model. The record is from RNAcentral.